AGGAGGAGCUGGUCAAUAUCGAACUAGAGAAGGAGAGGUUAGCGGAGAAGCUCAAAGCCUGGGAAAACCUCGGACAAUCGACUGGACUCAACAUAAGGAAACCAGAGGAUCUGUCCAGGGAGGUGAUUCACAUCCAGCAGAGAGAAAUUGCUCUGAAAGAGCAGAACUACACUCUCAGCAGCCGUGUGAGGAGUGCAGAGCGCUCGCAGAAUGAGCAUCGAGUCGGGCUGGGCCAGCAGCGCAGCAAGACUCUGGAGGAGCAGAAGAAGAGGGAGACGCAGGACAGUCUCGUCCGGAGACUCCAGAAGAGAGUCCUGUUGUUAACCAAGGUGACAAAGACACACAACAA
Molecule: long non-coding RNA, 349 nt
Organism: Notothenia coriiceps (black rockcod)
Lineage: Eukaryota; Metazoa; Chordata; Actinopteri; Perciformes; Nototheniidae
Exons: 4
Source: RefSeq, a predicted model, not a curated record